CAUGAGAUAGUCAUGUGUUCAGGAGUAACAUCCAGAAUAUUAAUAGGACCUGUUGGUGGCCCAGGAACAUCAAGAACAGUAAGAUGUACUGCUACUGUUUUGCUACCAGCUGCAUUGGAAACUGUGAUUUGAUAUUCCCCAGUGUCUCUCCUUAAGCAGUUCUUAAUGAGAAUAGACACCUUGAUGGCUCCUCUGGCAGUUCUUGAUGACCAUGGAUGAGCUAAUGGCUGUGGUCUCAAUGGUGGCUUCUUGAGAUUAUUUACAGCUGUGAUGGUAUAUAAGCCAGUGUCACUCCUGCGAGACUGUGGAAUAACUAAAGUGCAAGUAUCAUCCACCACCAGUUUGUUGACAUGGGUGUCAUAGAGAACAGGUUCUUUAUUAUCAGGCUUCUUUGGAGGAGCUUUAAACCAGGAGCAUGCAGAGAAAUUGUUUUAGCCUCUGAUAAAUAAAACAGCCUGCCAUGAGAAAAUUACAGCAAGGAAAUUACAGACAUCAUCUCCUUUGAAUAGGGAAAAGGUAACAGGAACUACUUACAGAUUGGAUCAUGUGCUGUUUUGGGAUCUGAAGGUGGACUGAACUUUCCAGGUCCAGCUGCAUUUUCAGCACAUACUCUGAAGACAUAGCUGAUUGAGAAACUUACCAAACUGAU
This 649-nucleotide non-coding RNA is filed under the name Pongo abelii (Sumatran orangutan). Lineage: Eukaryota; Metazoa; Chordata; Mammalia; Primates; Hominidae. The record is from RNAcentral.